RNA transcript from Myzus persicae (green peach aphid), 3170 nucleotides. RefSeq lists it as uncharacterized. The record is from RefSeq and is a predicted model, not a curated record. The transcript has 9 exons. Lineage: Eukaryota; Metazoa; Arthropoda; Insecta; Hemiptera; Aphididae.
CACCCAGACAGAUGGACCAUUUUAUUUCUGGAUCGACGACGACCGGCCAUUUCGCUAUAACCACACACGGACUCUUUAUAACCACGAUAAAUAUUAUCAUAUUAUUAUAACAGUUGCCGUCACGAAAAUCUCGGUGUACCGCAAGAAAUCAUAAUAUUAACACGUUCGCACGCACACCGGUUUUUAACGAUGUAUAAUGUUAUAAUAACAUUAUGUAGAAACAAUUCGUCACGUAGGUAACUAAUAACUAUACCUAUAAGGUUUUUGGUUUUUAGUUAGCGGGAAUCGCACGUUGAUCUCGCGAACAUGUUGAUGGAUGUUGAUUUUGACGAUGAUACGCCGAAUCGAUGCACCACACUCGUCUACUAUGCGUGGAAGAUAUUCACGUGCUUGUUCCUGCACGUGUUACUUGUCACCAUGGUUGUGCUGUAUUGUUUGCUCGGAGCCUUUGCUUUCGAACGUCUCGAAUCAGCUAACGAAAUUGAAGUGAAGAAUAGUAUUCGUGUCAUGAGGAUGAAUGUAACUACGGAUCUUUGGAAGUACACCAAAAAUUCAUUGGUGCUCCAACAAGAUAAUUUUACUACAAACGUAACAGCCCGGUUGCAGAAAUUUGAAGAUGAUUUGAUAUACGCUAUUAAACGUAAAGGUUGGGAUGGCGAAGAAGACACUAAAAUACAACAAUGGACCUUCACUGGGGCUUUAUUUUACUCAAUAAUUGUUAUCACAACUAUAGGUUACGGUCAUAUUGCUCCGAAAACCCUAAACGGAAAAAUAGCCACCAUAUUUUACGCGAUCGUCGGUAUACCGCUGAUGCUCCUGUGCCUGUCCAAUAUCGGCGACAUAAUGGCGCAUUCCUUCAGGUUCCUCUACUGGAAAGUGUGUUGCUACACGUGCACCAGGCGGCAGAGACGAGUACAGUCCCUAAGGAGGUCCCGCAGUCAAAGGUCCACUACAAGAUCACACGGCGGUUCCAGAACCACGUCACUAAGGAGAACGGGUCGAAUAUCACAGAGAUCCGCAGAUAGCGCUCUUGGAAUGUCGGAUUGUUACACUAGAUCUUCUUAUUCGGACACUGAAUGCAGGUAUUACGAUAAAAUGGAAAGAGAAUAUGCCAUGUUCGGGGGCGGGAUGCCUGUUAAAUCUCCUAAUCGAUAUUCACAGCAAUCCAGGUACUCCGACACCGUACCGUUACGAAGACACUCGCCGGCUAUUAAGCCUAGAUCGACCAGUCAAAACAGUGGUCACCGAAAUAAUGCUAACCAUUAUUACCAUGGACGAUAUCGAGUACAAGAUCCAAGUUAUUCUGACGGUGAUCAACUAGAUGGACCAGAACUGCAGCAAGUGCCAUCAAUUUUAUUUAACAAAUAUGCACUGGACAGGGAAGAAUCUAGAAGAAUUCAUCCGAAGCAAAGCCACGAGAUCCGCCGGAACAUCCGGGGUCACUCGGCAGCGCCGAAUUUAGCAACGGAAACGCCGUCGGGCACGUUGCGGACGAACGGCCGAAGCAAAACACCUCAGCAUCUGGUCGUGGACAUGCUGCCAAUGGACCAUCCCGACCAAGAUUACUACCCGAAACCGAAAUUCCGUUCGAGACAUCGGAAUUCCAAUCAGAGUAAGUCACGAGAAGAAUUCUUGGGCGGCGGUGGCUGUGGCGGCGGCGGAGGUGGUAAGGGCAAACGUUUGGAGGUGAUGGCGCCCAGCCCGCGAAUCAUGUCGCCGCUGGGUUUCGCCGUGAACAGGCAGUACCCCCGGCGGUCGACCCGGUACAGCGACUACUACGACGACACUGAGCCGUGCGAGUUCGACGACAACAACCCGGACCACAUCAAGCCGGUGCCCAUAUGGCUGUGCGUGCUGCUGGUGGUCAGCUACAUAAUCAUGGGCGCGUUCCUGUUCAAGAGCUGGGAAAACUGGGAAUUCCCGGACUCCGCGUACUUCUGCUUCAUAACGCUCACCACCAUCGGGUUCGGCGACUUCGUGCCCGCCCAGCGGGUGAUGAACAAGGGCGACGACACCAAGCUGCGCAUAUGGUUCUGCUCGCUGUACCUGCUGUUCGGCAUCGCCCUGUUGGCCAUGAGCUUUAACCUCGUCCAGGAGGAGGUCAUCAGCAACGUCAAGACCGUGGCCCGGCACCUGGGCAUCAUCAAGGACGAGGACGAAGAGGAGUCCGAGUGACGACGCUCGGCACUUGUUAAAUAAUAUAACUUAAUAAUAAUAUAUAAUGUUAUCAUGUGCUUAGGUCUUCGAGAAUAAUAAUAAUAUAUUGCAUAAUAUAUAUAGAUUACUGCAGGUACCUAUGAAUCGCGAACGUCUUGUUGUGACUUUCGCUUGAACAUUGUUUUAUAUAAUAUUAUGCUAUAUUAUUAUGAUAUUAUAAUUACUGCGUUCGGGUCUAUUUAUAGGUUAACCGUCAACCAUCUGCGCCCGUCUUGGAUAUUUUACCUGUUGUAGAAUAUGGAAAGUGCCUUCCAAGUAUAUUAUAUUAUACCAAUAGUAAGUUAUCUGUUUAAUUUAUUUAUUUUUCUUUUACAAACGUCUAGAUGUCUACUAAGUACUAAUAUUAGGUUAUUGAAUGAAUAUUACAUUUCAUUUUUAGAUAGGUAUUUGUGCUCGUAAUUUGUACUAUGAUUUUUGUAUUUUAUUUUGUCAUUCUAGUCUAAAAACAUCAGAAAGCAAAUGUUCUACGACAAUUAAUAUGUUUUUUGUAUAACAUUUUUAUAAUUGCAUUUAUUAUGUUUCGAAUUAAUUUUAGUUUACUAAUCAUAAUAAUAAGUUUAAUUAAAAAUAUUUUUAAUUGUGAAAGACUAAAGACAUUCAAAAUAAUUUGUAAUUGAAAUUUAUACAAUUAAGAAAACUGAUUGUAACUUUGUUAGAUUGCAUAAAAUAUAUUAUAUAUAAUAUUUCUUAAAUAGCUUAAUAUCUACAAGGGACAGCUGUUCGGUCAAUUUAUAAUAGUCCUCAACAAUCUUAAACGUUUAUUUCAGUUUUUUUUUUUAUUAAAUGUUUAUAAGUUGUUUCAAUAUCAUUGCACCCUCAAAAUGUCGACAUUAUUGUUUUUAUGAAUGACUUAAAAUAAAUAAAUUUUAUUUUCAAGUGAACUUUGCUGACUAGUUUAGAAUAAGAUACUUUUAUGAAUAAUUGAAUGUUAAAUAGAUCAUACUGACGAAAUA